UACAGAGGUCCCGAGCGUUGUUCGGAUUCACUGGGCGUAAAGGGCGCGUAGGCGGCUCGGCACGUCCGUUGUGAAAUCGCCCGGCUCAACUGGGCGGGGUCAGCGGAUACGGCCGAGCUGGAGCAAGCUAGGGGGUAAUGGAAUUCCCGGUGUAGUGGUGGAAUGCGUAGAUAUCGGGAGGAACACCAGUGGCGAAGGCGGUUACCUGGAGCUUUGCUGACGCUGAUGCGCGAAAGCGUGGGGAGCGAUCCGG
Molecule: ribosomal RNA, 253 nt
Filed under: uncultured bacterium
Lineage: Bacteria
Description: partial 16S ribosomal RNA
Rfam family: Bacterial small subunit ribosomal RNA
Source: RNAcentral